CGGCCGGCGCACGGGUGAGUAACGCGUAUGCAACCUGCCCGUUUCAGCGGGAUAACCCGGAGAAAUCCGGCCUAAUACCGCAUGUGGCCGAGGGGAGGCAUCUUCUUUCGGCCAAAGGAGGCAACUCCGGAGACGGAUGGGCAUGCGUGACAUUAGCUUGUUGGCGGGGUAACGGCCCACCAAGGCGACGAUGUCUAGGGGUUCUGAGAGGAAGGUCCCCCACACUGGUACUGAGACACGGACCAGACUCCUACGGAAGGCAGCAG
RNAcentral lists this ribosomal RNA (266 nucleotides) under uncultured bacterium. Its description in RNAcentral is "partial 16S ribosomal RNA". It matches the Rfam family "Bacterial small subunit ribosomal RNA", at positions 92 to 354 of the family's 1533-position model. The record is from RNAcentral.